UGAAGAGUUUGAUCAUGGCUCAGAUUGAACGCUGGCGGCAGGCCUAACACAUGCAAGUCGAACGGUAACAGGAAGCAGCUUGCUGCUUUGCUGACGAGUGGCGGACGGGUGAGUAAUGUCUGGGAAACUGCCUGAUGGAGGGGGAUAACUACUGGAAACGGUGGCUAAUACCGCAUAACGUCGCAAGACCAAAGAGGGGGACCUUCGGGCCUCUUGCCAUCAGAUGUGCCCAGAUGGGAUUAGCUUGUUGGUGAGGUAACGGCUCACCAAGGCGACGAUCCCUAGCUGGUCUGAGAGGAUGACCAGCCACACUGGAACUGAGACACGGUCCAGACUCCUACGGGAGGCAGCAGUGGGGAAUAUUGCACAAUGGGCGCAAGCCUGAUGCAGCCAUGCCGCGUGUAUGAAGAAGGCCUUCGGGUUGUAAAGUACUUUCAGCGGGGAGGAAGGUGUUGUGGUUAAUAACCGCAGCAAUUGACGUUACCCGCAGAAGAAGCACCGGCUAACUCCGUGCCAGCAGCCGCGGUAAUACGGAGGGUGCAAGCGUUAAUCGGAAUUACUGGGCGUAAAGCGCACGCAGGCGGUCUGUCAAGUCGGAUGUGAAAUCCCCGGGCUCAACCUGGGAACUGCAUUCGAAACUGGCAGGCUUGAGUCUUGUAGAGGGGGGUAGAAUUCCAGGUGUAGCGGUGAAAUGCGUAGAGAUCUGGAGGAAUACCGGUGGCGAAGGCGGCCCCCUGGACAAAGACUGACGCUCAGGUGCGAAAGCGUGGGGAGCAAACAGGAUUAGAUACCCUGGUAGUCCACGCCGUAAACGAUGUCUACUUGGAGGUUGUGCCCUUGAGGCGUGGCUUCCGGAGCUAACGCGUUAAGUAGACCGCCUGGGGAGUACGGCCGCAAGGUUAAAACUCAAAUGAAUUGACGGGGGCCCGCACAAGCGGUGGAGCAUGUGGUUUAAUUCGAUGCAACGCGAAGAACCUUACCUGGUCUUGACAUCCACGGAAGUUUUCAGAGAUGAGAAUGUGCCUUCGGGAACCGUGAGACAGGUGCUGCAUGGCUGUCGUCAGCUCGUGUUGUGAAAUGUUGGGUUAAGUCCCGCAACGAGCGCAACCCUUAUCCUUUGUUGCCAGCGGUCCGGCCGGGAACUCAAAGGAGACUGCCAGUGAUAAACUGGAGGAAGGUGGGGAUGACGUCAAGUCAUCAUGGCCCUUACGACCAGGGCUACACACGUGCUACAAUGGCGCAUACAAAGAGAAGCGACCUCGCGAGAGCAAGCGGACCUCAUAAAGUGCGUCGUAGUCCGGAUUGGAGUCUGCAACUCGACUCCAUGAAGUCGGAAUCGCUAGUAAUCGUGGAUCAGAAUGCCACGGUGAAUACGUUCCCGGGCCUUGUACACACCGCCCGUCACACCAUGGGAGUGGGUUGCAAAAGAAGUAGGUAGCUUAACCUUCGGGAGGGCGCUUACCACUUUGUGAUUCAUGACUGGGGUGAAGUCGUAACAAGGUAACCGUAG
Molecule: ribosomal RNA, 1510 nt
Filed under: Salmonella enterica
Lineage: Bacteria; Pseudomonadati; Pseudomonadota; Gammaproteobacteria; Enterobacterales; Enterobacteriaceae
Description: bacterial SSU rRNA
Rfam family: Bacterial small subunit ribosomal RNA
Source: RNAcentral